CGAGAGGGUUCGGCCCUCGGCUGACGGCUCAGUAACACGUGGAUGAUCUGCCCUAAGGUGGAGGAUAACCUCGGGAAACUGAGAAUAAUACUCUAUAGGUCUAGGAUGCUGGAAUGCACUUAAGCUGAAAACUUCGGUGCCUUAGGAUGAGUCUGCGGACUAUCAGGUUGUAGUCAGGGUAAAGACCUGACUAGCCUACGACGGAUACGGGUUGUGAGAGCAAUAACCCGGAGACGAUAUCUGAGACACGAUAUCGGGCCCUACGGGGCGCAGCAGGCGCGAAAACUUCACACUGUGCGAAAGCACGAUGAGGGAAUCCCAAGUGCUUGCCCGUAAGAGUAAGCUGUUUUUAUGUAUAAAAAGCAUACAGAGUAAGGGCUGGGUAAGACGGGUGCCAGCCGCCGCGGUAAUACCUGCAGCUCAAGUGGUGACCACUAUUAUUGGGCCUAAAACGUUCGUAGCCGGUUUAUUAAAUGCUUGGGUAAAUCGUGUAGCUUAACUAUACGAAUUCCGGGUAGACUGAUAGACUUGAGACCGGGAGAAGCUAGAGGUACUCCUGGGGUAGAGGUGAAAUUCUGUAAUCCUGGG
This 588-nucleotide ribosomal RNA is filed under the name uncultured archaeon. RNAcentral's name for it is "bacterial SSU rRNA". It matches the Rfam family "Archaeal small subunit ribosomal RNA", at positions 59 to 652 of the family's 1478-position model. The record is from RNAcentral.